AGAGUUUGAUCAUGGCUCAGGACGAACGCUGGCGGCGUGCUUAAUACAUGCAAGUCGAGCGAGGUUACUGUUUUGGAUCCCUUCGGGGUGAAGAAGCUUUAACCUAGCGGCGGACGGGUGAGUAACGCGUGGGUAACCUACCCCAAAGUCCGGGAUAACAGCGGGAAACCGCUGCUAAUACCGGAUGUCUUUACCUUGGGGCAUCUUGAGGUAAAGAAAGGUAACGCUUUGGGAUGGGCCCGCGUCCCAUUAGCUAGUUGGUGAGGUAACGGCUCACCAAGGCGACGAUGGGUAGCCGGCCUGAGAGGGUGGACGGCCACACUGGGACUGAGGCACGGCCCAGACUCCUACGGGAGGCAGCAGUAGGGAAUAUUGCGCAAUGGACGGAAGUCUGACGCAGCGACGCCGCGUGAGCGAUGAAGGUCUUCGGAUCGUAAAGCUCUGUCCUUGGGGAAGAAGGCGAAAGCUUGACGGUACCCAAGAAGAAAGCCCCGGCUAACUACGUGCCAGCAGCCGCGGUAAU
This 523-nucleotide ribosomal RNA is filed under the name uncultured bacterium. RNAcentral's name for it is "bacterial SSU rRNA". It matches the Rfam family "Bacterial small subunit ribosomal RNA", at positions 8 to 524 of the family's 1533-position model. The record is from RNAcentral.